Molecule: RNase P RNA, 273 nt
Filed under: Actinomycetota bacterium
Lineage: Bacteria; Bacillati; Actinomycetota
Description: Actinobacteria bacterium partial RNase P RNA component class A
Rfam family: Bacterial RNase P class A
About the family: Ribonuclease P (RNase P) is a ubiquitous endoribonuclease, found in archaea, bacteria and eukarya as well as chloroplasts and mitochondria.
Source: RNAcentral
AGAGUCGCCCGGAUCACCGCGUUACGCCCAGAUUAAUUUCUAGGUGGACCGAGGAAAGUCCGGACUUCACAGAGCAAGGUGGUGGGUAACACCCACCCGGAGAAAUCCGCGGGAUUAGUGCCACAGAAAAUAGACCGCACAUGAAAAUGUGUAAGGGUGAAACGGUGGUGUAAGAGACCACCAGUAUUUGUAGUGAUGCAGAUAGCUUGGUAAACCCCACCUGAAGCAAGACCACGCAGAUGGCGUUUGAGAACUGCUCGUUCGAGCCAUCGG